CAGUCGCCACGGUAAUACAGAGGGUGCGAGCGUUAAUCGGAUUUACUGGGCGUAAAGCGUGCGUAGGCGGCUUUUUAAGUCGGAUGUGAAAUCCCUGAGCUUAACUUAGGAAUUGCAUUCGAUACUGGGAAGCUAGAGUAUGGGAGAGGAUGGUAGAAUUCCAGGUGUAGCGGUGAAAUGCGUAGAGAUCUGGAGGAAUACCGAUGGCGAAGGCAGCCAUCUGGCCUAAUACUGACGCUGAGGUACGAAAGCAUGGGGAGCAAACAGGAUUAGAUACCCAGUAGUCCCUGUCUCUUAUACA
This 301-nucleotide ribosomal RNA is filed under the name uncultured bacterium. RNAcentral describes it as "partial 16S ribosomal RNA". It matches the Rfam family "Bacterial small subunit ribosomal RNA", at positions 509 to 808 of the family's 1533-position model. The record is from RNAcentral.